AACGAACGCUGGCGGCAUGCCUAACACAUGCAAGUCGAACGAGACCUUCGGGUCUAGUGGCGCACGGGUGCGUAACGCGUGGGAACCUGCCUUUAGGUUCGGAAUAACUCAGAGAAAUUUGAGCUAAUACCGGAUGAUGUCUUCGGACCAAAGAUUUAUCGCCUUUAGAUGGGCCCGCGUUGGAUUAGCUAGUUGGUGGGGUAAAGGCCUACCAAGGCGACGAUCCAUAGCUGGUCUGAGAGGAAGAUCAGCCACACUGGGACUGAGACACGGCCCAGACUCCUACGGGAGGCAGCAGUGGGGAAUAUUGGACAAUGGGCGAAAGCAUGAUCCAGCAAGGCCGGGUGAGUGAUGAAGGCCUUAGGGUUGUAAAGCUCUUUUAACCGAGAUGAUAAUGACAGUAUCGGGAGAAUAAGCUCCGGCUAACUCCGUG
RNAcentral lists this ribosomal RNA (433 nucleotides) under uncultured bacterium. RNAcentral's name for it is "partial 16S ribosomal RNA". It matches the Rfam family "Bacterial small subunit ribosomal RNA", at positions 29 to 507 of the family's 1533-position model. The record is from RNAcentral.